RNAcentral lists this transfer RNA (71 nucleotides) under Neotoma lepida (desert woodrat). It matches the Rfam family "tRNA". From Rfam's summary of the family: Transfer RNA (tRNA) molecules are approximately 80 nucleotides in length. Their secondary structure includes four short double-helical elements and three loops (D, anti-codon, and T loops). Further hydrogen bonds mediate the characteristic L-shaped molecular structure. tRNAs have two regions of fundamental functional importance: the anti-codon, which is responsible for specific mRNA codon recognition, and the 3' end, to which the tRNAs corresponding amino acid is attached (by aminoacyl-tRNA synthetases). tRNAs cope with the degeneracy of the genetic code in two manners: having more than one tRNA (with a specific anti-codon) for a particular amino acid; and 'wobble' base-pairing, i.e. permitting non-standard base-pairing at the 3rd anti-codon position. The record is from Rfam by way of RNAcentral. Lineage: Eukaryota; Metazoa; Chordata; Mammalia; Rodentia; Cricetidae.
GGAGAUGUGGCUCAGUGGUUAAGAGCACUGGCUGCUCUUCCAGAAGACUGGGGUUCAAGUCUCAACAUCCA